Molecule: ribosomal RNA, 485 nt
Filed under: uncultured bacterium
Lineage: Bacteria
Description: partial 16S ribosomal RNA
Rfam family: Bacterial small subunit ribosomal RNA
Source: RNAcentral
AUUGAACGCUGGCGGCAUGCUUUACACAUGCAAGUCGAACGGCAGCGCGGGCUUCGGCCUGGCGGCGAGUGGCGAACGGGUGAGUAAUGCAUCGGAACGUGCCCAGUAGUGGGGGAUAGCCCGGCGAAAGCCGGAUUAAUACCGCAUACGACCUGAGGGUGAAAGCGGGGGACCGAAAGGCCUCGCGCUAUUGGAGCGGCCGAUGUCGGAUUAGCUAGUUGGUGGGGUAAAGGCUUACCAAGGCGACGAUCCGUAGCUGGUCUGAGAGGGCGACCAGCCACACUGGGACUGAGACACGGCCCAGACUCCUACGGGAGGCAGCAGUGGGGAAUUUUGGACAAUGGGGGCAACCCUGAUCCAGCCAUGCCGCGUGCGGGAAGAAGGCCUUCGGGUUGUAAACCGCUUUUGUUCGGGAAGAAAUCCUCUGGGCUAAUACCCCGGGGGGAUGACGGUACCGGAAGAAUAAGCACCGGCUAACUACGUGC